CCUACGGGAGGCAGCAGUGGGGGAUAUUGCACAAUGGGGGGAACCCUGAUGCAGCGACGCCGCGUGGGUGAAGAAGCGCCUCGGCGCGUAAAGCCCUGUCAGCAGGGAAGAAAAUGACGGUACCUGAAGAAGAAGCCCCGGCUAACUACGUGCCAGCAGCCGCGGUAAUACGUAGGGGGCAAGCGUUAUCCGGAUGUACUGGGUGUAAAGGGGGGGCAGAGGGCGAGGCAAGCCAGGAGUGAAAGCCCGGGGGCCAAACCCGGGACUGAUGUUGAAACUGCGUGGCUGGAGUGCAGGAGGGGCAGGCGGAAUGCGUGGUGUAGCGGUGAAAUGCGUAGAUAUCAGGAAGAACUCCGGUGGCGAAGGCGGCCUGCUGGCCUGCAACUGACGUUGAGGCCCGAAAGCGUGGGGAGCAAACAGGAUUAGAUACCCGAGUAGUC
Molecule: ribosomal RNA, 440 nt
Filed under: uncultured bacterium
Lineage: Bacteria
Description: partial 16S ribosomal RNA
Rfam family: Bacterial small subunit ribosomal RNA
Source: RNAcentral